Molecule: small RNA, 789 nt
Filed under: Histoplasma capsulatum
Lineage: Eukaryota; Fungi; Ascomycota; Eurotiomycetes; Onygenales; Ajellomycetaceae
Also listed under: 1 other name
Description: hypothetical RNA
Source: RNAcentral
CUGUUCAGUAUGUUAGAAAGGGAAAACAAGAAGCCUGUUAAACUCAAGGUUAGUACCCAGGCAGGCCUGCCCAGGUGGGAUGAUACAAACACAAGCACAAAGAAAACGGCAGGACGUACAUUAAUUUAUUAGAUCUUUUUUUUUUUUCUGGACUUUCUCUCCAGGCGGGAGGGAGAGAUGAAGAAAUCGCCUAGUUUUGUGACGGUGUAACCCGUUUGCAGUUGAUGGAAUGCAUACGAUAGACAAACGAUAGACACACGCUGAUGGCAGGAACGGGACGAUUUUGAUUUUUGAUGAUUUUUGAUUUUUCCGAUAUUGGGCUUGUUGUGAUGCCUGGUUCACUUAUUAUUGAUUUUUGUCGGGCUUUGAAUCGUCUUGGAGCUGCCGAUUAUUGACGAUCUCGCAUUCUCUCUUUUUCAAGAAGUAGAAAUCAAGAUGCUUCGAGAGGGAAGUGGGCGUUCCGCCCUACGCUUUUCCACUUUUUUCGGGAUAAAUACUCCGUCGCAGGAUUACGGAUGCCAAGGUUUUUUGCGGGCAAUUUUAUGCAAGCCAAAUCCGUGCAUUCGAUGUUUCUCCUCUCCAUCCCAGGCAGUUUUCAGAAGAAACCAGAGGCUUUUGAACAUAUUUGUGCAUGCAUAUGAAUCACAUCCAGAUAUUUCCAGAUACGUUAUUUAUUUUCAAGUCGAGGUAUUUAAUAACUCUGCUGUUACGGAUGGACUUGAUCAAAGGAAAUUGCACAGGAGAAUGGAAAUCCGUAGGGGCGGGUUUUGUUUCCACAAUACAAUACCA